GCACAGGUGGCCGAGUGGUUAAUGGCAGCAGACUGUAAAUCUGCCGCGCUAGUCGCUACGAAGGUUCGAAUCCUUCCCUGUGCACCA
RNAcentral lists this transfer RNA (87 nucleotides) under Granulicella cerasi. RNAcentral describes it as "tRNA-Tyr". It matches the Rfam family "tRNA". Rfam says of the family: Transfer RNA (tRNA) molecules are approximately 80 nucleotides in length. Lineage: Bacteria; Pseudomonadati; Acidobacteriota; Terriglobia; Terriglobales; Acidobacteriaceae. The record is from RNAcentral. RNAcentral also lists the same sequence under 2 other names.